RNAcentral lists this unclassified non-coding RNA (148 nucleotides) under Naganishia diffluens. RNAcentral's name for it is "ITS 1". Lineage: Eukaryota; Fungi; Basidiomycota; Tremellomycetes; Filobasidiales; Filobasidiaceae. The record is from RNAcentral.
AUGAAUUUAAGAGCUUCUAAUUUAACAUUAGAGCUCGCUCCUUCAUUUCCAACCCUGUGAACAUAAUUUUGAAUUGGUGAACUAACGUUUGCCAAUUCGCCCAUUACAAACUCUACAAGUUUAAGAAUGUAACAAAUACAAAACAAAA